GACGAACGCUGGCGGCGUGCUUAACACAUGCAAGUCGAACGGGUCUGCCCUGUUUUUUGCGGGGUGGGUCAGUGGCGAACGGGUGAGUAACACGUGAGUAACCUGCCCCUCACUUCUGGAUAACCGCUUGAAAGGGUGGCUAAUACGGGGUGUUCUGGCUGUGCCGCAUGGUGUGGCUGGGAAAGAUUCACUUUUGUGGUGUUUUGGUGGGGGAUGGGCUCGCGGCCUAUCAGCUUGUUGGUGGGGUGAUGGCCUGCCAAGGCUUUGACGGGUAGCCGGCCUGGGAGGGUGGGCGGUCACACUGGGACUGAGAUACGGCCCAGACUCCUGCGGGAGGCAGCAGUGGGGGGUAUUGCACAAUGGGCGGAAGCCUGAUGCAGCGACGUCGCGUGAGGGAUGGAGGCCUGCGGGUUGUGAACCUCUUUCGCCGGUGAAGAAGGUCCUGCUCUUUGUGGUGGGGUUGACGGUAGCCGGAUUAUGAAGCGCCGGCUAACUACGUG
This 500-nucleotide ribosomal RNA is filed under the name uncultured bacterium. Its description in RNAcentral is "partial 16S ribosomal RNA". It matches the Rfam family "Bacterial small subunit ribosomal RNA", at positions 28 to 507 of the family's 1533-position model. The record is from RNAcentral.